GACCAGUAAUUUCAGAGAAAACUAUGCAUGCAGGAUAUUGCGCAAUCAAAUAUCGCCGCCAAAUCUGGUGAUCAAUAGUGGUACAGAAAGUGAUCACAAACAUGUAUGCUAAUUUUUGCACAGUUCUGACCAGUUCUUUUUGAGAAAAUAAGUUUGCAGAAAAUUGCGCAAUCCAAUAUGGCCUCCAAUUCUGGUGAUCAAUAGUGGUACAGAAAGUGAUCACGAACAUGUGUGCUAAUUUUCAUAUUGUUCUGACCAGUAAUUUCAGAGAAAACUAUGCAUGCAGGAUAUUGCGCAAUCAAAUAUGGCCGCCAAAUCUGGUGCUCAAUUGUGGUACAGAAAGUGGUGACAAACAUGUAUGCUAAUUUUUGCAUAGUUCUGACCAGUUCUUUUAGAGAAAACUAUGUUUGCAGAAAAUUGCGCAAUCCACUAUGGCCUCCAAUUCUGGUGAUCAAUAAUGGUACAGGAAGUGAUCACGAACAUGUGUGUUAAUUUUCACAUUUUUCUGAAAAAAAUUACCCAAAAAUAUUUAAAAAAUAAUCCAAAACCCCCCUCACAUUAGCCAUAACUAAACAUUGCCUGUCAGCAUAAGGCUGAAAGGCAUAAUAUACUUCACUAUAAUACCAGUGCAGUGUAUUAUAUGAUCGAUCUGAAGAUCGCUGGUAAACGCCCUCUUACAGGAUUACUUUAAAAAGUACAAAGAAAAGAAACGGUUGAUAAAGUAAUAAGUAAUACCAUCAGCAUAAUGUUGGGAGGCAUAAAACAUUUAUUAAAUAAUUCAACUCGUCCCCCCAUUUCAAAAAUAAAAGGCGUACAUUUCCAAUACAUGAUUAACUGUUUUAUAUGAUAAAAAAUUUUUAGAUAAAAUAUUUUAUAAAAAAUAAAUUAAAAAUAUCCAAUUUAUUUUAUGGAACAAAAUGAUCUAGAUCUCAAUGUGUCCCUUUUUCUUAUGCUUAUUCAUAAUUUCUGAGAUAAGUAGUUCUGGCCCUAGGGUGUGAUAUAUAUAGUAGCGUCUGUAGCAUGUAUCAGGAAUAUGUUAUCAUACCUGUGUCUUUUUACAGAUGACUGAUGCCCAGUGAGAAGGUGAACGUGACAUAUACCCUCGUCAGCUGGAGGAAAGGAACCACGAGACAGGGGACUGAUGCCCAGUGAGAAGGUGAACGGGACAUAUACCCUCGUCAGCUUGAAGAAAGGAACCACGAGACAGAUGACUGAUGCCCAGUGAGAAGGUGAACGUGACAUAUACACUCGUCAGCUGGAGGAAAGGAACCACGAGACAGGGGACUGAUGCCCAGUGAGAAGGUGAACGGGACAUAUACCCUCGUCAGCUUGAAGAAAGGAACCACGAGACAGGUAAUUAAUAUUUAUAUUAAUUACUGAUAACAAUCAGGCUAGAUUUAAAAUCUAGACCUGCAGAGAUUUUAUAGUCUCUCCCUUAUACAUGAAGAUAUAUGUGUUGCUAAUAAGUAUAUCGUUUAUGGACAGCUUUUUAUAUAACACAAGCAUAUCUCAGGUACAGAGAUUAGGAGCAUUUAUGAUCCUUAUUCUCUGUUUUUUCAUUUGUAGGAAUCCCCUUUUUUAAUAAUCAAUAGAACAGACUCAACAGACUGCAGAGUUUACAAGUUUACUUUAGAAAGUGGGCUGACUGACUGCAGAUGUAGGUCUUAACUGUACUAAAUAAAGAAAAAUUAACAUUUUUUUUAUUCAAAUAUAUAAUUAUAGCCAAAGACUAUAACCACAAAAAUACAUACUCUUUUAACAUAAUGCUGAAGGGCAUAUUAAACUGCACUUUAAUACUAGUGCAAUGUAUUAUGUAAGCAAUCUGAAGAUCUCUGUUAAAAGUCCCAUUUAUCAAAAUUAAAGCCUAGGAUCAAACUGAGGAAUUUCCAGCUGGAAUAACUAUUGCCAGAGGUUCCACAGGUGCAUUGCCGCACCAUAGAUGGCAAUAUAUUCUGCAUGGAUCCUAUCUAAAAAAAUAAAAAGUUAAAAAUAAACAAUUUAUAAAAUAAUUAAC
This is a long non-coding RNA of Hyla sarda, 2014 nucleotides long. RefSeq lists it as uncharacterized. The transcript has 4 exons. NCBI's taxonomy places the organism in Eukaryota, Metazoa, Chordata, Amphibia, Anura, Hylidae. The record is from RefSeq and is a predicted model, not a curated record.